UGCGGCUGGAUCCCCUCCUUUCUGAGAAACGAACGAACGCACCGACGCCGAGAGGCAGAGUGCAAGUAACACCUUUGAACACGAACACUUCGUGUUGAAGGCUCUUUCUGUCCACUUUUCUGCUGUUAAGCGCAGCAGACGGCGGUCGCAAGGUCGCCAGCACCUUAACAACUGAAUGUCAUAGCGCAUUGAACACAAAAGUAUCAGUAUCCGUGCAACACAGUUCAAAGCGAAGAAGGGCACACGGGGGAUGCCUUGGCGUCAAGUGCCGACGAAGGACGCGGUACACUGCGAAAAGCGUGGAUGAGGCGUGUGCAGCCGUAAGAGUCCACGAUGUCCGAAUGGGGAAACCCGG
This 355-nucleotide unclassified non-coding RNA is filed under the name uncultured bacterium. RNAcentral's name for it is "partial contains 16S ribosomal RNA, 16S-23S ribosomal RNA intergenic spacer, and 23S ribosomal RNA". The stretch from base 224 to 355 matches the Rfam family "Bacterial large subunit ribosomal RNA", at positions 1 to 131 of the family's 2925-position model. The record is from RNAcentral.